UAUGAAGAAAAGAGGUUUAAUUGACUCACAGUUCUAUAGGCUGUACAAGAGGAAGCAUGGCUGGGAGGUUUCAGGAAAUAUACAAUCAUGGUGGAAGGGCAAACGGGAAGCAAGCAUAUCUUCAUAUGGCAGCAGGAGAGAGAGAAAAAGAGUAAAGGGGAAAGUGCUACACACUUUUAAACAACCAGAUCUCGUGAGAACUAUC
This 205-nucleotide long non-coding RNA is filed under the name Pan troglodytes (chimpanzee). Its description in RNAcentral is "long non-coding RNA NONPTRT007821". Lineage: Eukaryota; Metazoa; Chordata; Mammalia; Primates; Hominidae. The record is from RNAcentral.